This 835-nucleotide long non-coding RNA is filed under the name Mustela putorius furo (domestic ferret). RNAcentral's name for it is "lncRNA (ENSMPUG00000031773.1)". The record is from RNAcentral. Lineage: Eukaryota; Metazoa; Chordata; Mammalia; Carnivora; Mustelidae.
GAAAAUACCAGGGGCCUGAGAGCUGGGCAGAGGACAUUUGGUGGUGGUUAUUGAACAUUGUGGACGAGAUGGCAGGGAAGCCACAGCUCACGGAGGUUGGUCACUGACCACUUCAAACGGAUCCUCAAAUAUUUUUCUCGACAUCUCCCAGCACACUCAGCGGCACCCGUCCACCUGCAGGAGCUGACAGACCUCCAGAGUGGGAUUAGACUUCCUUCCUGGGAAUCCAGAGUAGGCCACUUACACUGUGGCCUGCGGCUAGCUGCCUAACCUCUCCACCGCUCAGCUUCUUCGUGUGUAACAUGGAAAAAGUAGUUAAUACUUACUUACCUCAUACGUUUGUUAUGAAGCGCCCAACCUGCUCUAGACUAGUCCCAUUUCUCUGAGAACCUCCUCUGUCAAAGUAGAACACGUAAGACACUUAUGUUCAGCUCAAGUUUCCCCCUUGCUGUUUUUAAGACCAGCCUCUGUGAGCAGCAUAACAGAAUUCAUUGUGUCCUUCACUAAAUCUGGGCACCUUUGGCUGUCUCUGAGCUUGGUCUGUGGAGACCCUGUAAAAGCUCAGACUGUCUGUAUAAUUCUUCCCCAGACACAAUCAUCUGGAUUAUUUAAGAAUGUUCUGGAAUCUGUGAACUAUAAGCUCUUCUUCUUGUCAGGUUGAGAUUUUUCGGAUCCAACUAAUGUUCUCCCCUGGGUACAUCAGUAAGUCAAGAGAGAAAACUUACGAGCAAAGGUAUUUGGUCUCUUUAUGUCCACAACAACAAUAACCAUGAUGACAAACAACAGCAACAAUAAAGACAUUCUUUGCACUUAUGUAGCAUGUACCAUUCUGAAC